This 999-nucleotide long non-coding RNA is filed under the name Bos indicus x Bos taurus (hybrid cattle). RNAcentral describes it as "lncRNA (ENSBIXG00005007625.1)". The record is from RNAcentral. Lineage: Eukaryota; Metazoa; Chordata; Mammalia; Artiodactyla; Bovidae.
AUGAGGGCAAUCGACAAGGUUGUAAAGGCUAGCUUCCCCUCUGCUUCCUCAGAGCCUGCUCACCUGCACCCUGCCGGAUGCCACUUCCUGUGUCAGGCAGUCUUCACACGUAUGACUCCACGCAAGCAUCGUAAGAUGGCACCGUUAUCAUCCCACUCUACAGACAGGAAGCCGAGGCCCGGGGAGCAAAGCCACUUGCCCACAAGUGGUUCAAUGGUCUGCUUCACUUACGUGAAUGAGGACGGCCUUCGCCAUCCCUGGGCUCGGCUGCCCGGCAUGGCCUCACAGAUUUCAGGUAGCUCCUUGGUGACUCUGAACAGCUCCUCUACUCUGAAAGAGCUGUGACCCUCAGCUUGGACCUGUGGUCUGCAGGUAUGAGCAGUUGGUUUGAGCACCCCCUCCCCAGCCUCCUGUGACAUAGAUGUAAGUGGGCCUGCUCAAGUCUCCCCCAGCCAGCACUAUCAACAGAGCCUGGCACCCAGGACAGUCCCCAAAUACAUGCUAAUAACACACAUCUUUAGGCACCGUGGAGCGCAGUGGUCUGGGCUUGAGACCAGGGAAUAUGCUGACUUUGAUUUCUGCCCUGGCUGUGUGACCUUUCUGAGAACCAGUUCCUUUGUUGUAAAGUGGACAUGAUUCCAUGGCGACUGCCUUUGCACUGUGGCCCAGGCCAGGCCCUUCUGAUGGAGGUUCUCAUCAACUAUUAUUAUCCCCAUCUUAAGGAGGAGGAGUCACAGUUAGACAGCUGGUGGGACUGGCUGGGGUCACCCAGCCUGGUUAACAAAACCCAGCUCCCUACAGCCAGCCUAAGUCAGAGCUUCUCCCAGAAGGAUUGCAUUCUCUGACAGGUUGAAAUGCAGCCUCCUGGGCGCUGCCUGAGUCCCUGACCCUCAAGUUUGAGAAGGUCCCCACCCUAAGCUACUAGGCUGAGCGGCUAGGGCUGGUUAGUGUUGUCUGUGGGUGUGUCCACUUCAUCAUGUUGGGCUCUCCUGGAAUAAG